RNAcentral lists this ribosomal RNA (226 nucleotides) under uncultured bacterium. RNAcentral describes it as "partial 16S ribosomal RNA". It matches the Rfam family "Bacterial small subunit ribosomal RNA", at positions 328 to 537 of the family's 1533-position model. The record is from RNAcentral.
ACGCUCGACACCUACGGGGGCAGCAGUAGGGAAUCUUCGGCAAUGGACGCAAGUCUGACCGAGCAACGCCGCGUGAGUGAAGAAGGUUUUCGGAUCGUAAAACUCUGUUGUUAGAGAAGAACAAGGAUGAGAGUGGAAAGUUCAUCCCUUGACGGUAUCUAACCAGAAAGCCACGGCUAACUACGUGCCAGUAGCCGCGGUAAUCUGAGCGGGCGUGGCGAAGGCG